UACGUAGGGUGCGAGCGUUAAUCGGAAUUACUGGGCGUAAAGGGUGCGCAGGCGGCGUCGCAAGUCAGGCGUGAAAUCCCCGGGCUUAACCUGGGAAUGGCACUUGAAGCUACGAUGCUGGAGUAUGGCAGAGGGAGGUGGAAUUCCACGUGUAGCGGUGAAAUGCGUAGAGAUGUGGAGGAACACCGAUGGCGAAGGCAGCCUCCUGGGCCAAUACUGACGCUCAUGCACGAAAGCGUGGGGAGCAAACAGG
This 253-nucleotide ribosomal RNA is filed under the name uncultured bacterium. RNAcentral's name for it is "partial 16S ribosomal RNA". It matches the Rfam family "Bacterial small subunit ribosomal RNA", at positions 524 to 776 of the family's 1533-position model. The record is from RNAcentral.